AUUAUUUUAAGCUGUAUAUUGGUAGUAAUUAAUAAUUUAUGAAAUCAUAAGAUUUUGGCGGUAUUUUAAGCUUAUUAGAGGAAUUUGCUCUGUAAUGGAUAUAACGCCUUAAUCUUACUUAAUUUGGUAAAAAGUCAAUUUGUAUACCACUAUAUUUAAUUAUAUUGAAUAAUAAUAUUUAAGAUUUUUUUUAUUGAAAAAUAUAUUAAGUCAAGGUGCAAUUUAUAAUUAUGAAUGAAGUGAAUUACAUUAAUUUUAAUUUUGUUAAAAUACUGAAAAGUUUUUUUAUAGGAUUUAAUAGUAAAAUGUUAAUAUUAUGAAUAUUUGAAUGAAGCUCUAAAAU
RNAcentral lists this ribosomal RNA (343 nucleotides) under Ixodes fuscipes. RNAcentral's name for it is "partial small subunit ribosomal RNA". The record is from RNAcentral. Lineage: Eukaryota; Metazoa; Arthropoda; Arachnida; Ixodida; Ixodidae.